RNAcentral lists this transfer RNA (77 nucleotides) under Clostridiales bacterium. RNAcentral's name for it is "tRNA-Arg". It matches the Rfam family "tRNA". From Rfam's summary of the family: Transfer RNA (tRNA) molecules are approximately 80 nucleotides in length. Their secondary structure includes four short double-helical elements and three loops (D, anti-codon, and T loops). Further hydrogen bonds mediate the characteristic L-shaped molecular structure. tRNAs have two regions of fundamental functional importance: the anti-codon, which is responsible for specific mRNA codon recognition, and the 3' end, to which the tRNAs corresponding amino acid is attached (by aminoacyl-tRNA synthetases). tRNAs cope with the degeneracy of the genetic code in two manners: having more than one tRNA (with a specific anti-codon) for a particular amino acid; and 'wobble' base-pairing, i.e. permitting non-standard base-pairing at the 3rd anti-codon position. Lineage: Bacteria; Bacillati; Bacillota; Clostridia; Eubacteriales. The record is from RNAcentral.
GCGCCCGUAGCUCAAUUGGAUAGAGCGUCGGUCUACGGAACCGAAGGUUGGGGAUUCGAACUCCUCCGGGCGCACCA